RNAcentral lists this ribosomal RNA (404 nucleotides) under uncultured bacterium. RNAcentral describes it as "bacterial SSU rRNA". It matches the Rfam family "Bacterial small subunit ribosomal RNA", at positions 355 to 776 of the family's 1533-position model. The record is from RNAcentral.
UAACGAAUCUUCCCCAAUGCACGAAAGUGUGAGGGAGCGACGCCGCGUGGAGGAUGAAGUCCUUCGGGAUGUAAACUCCUGUCAGGGGUUAGAAAGUUCUGAUCAACCCCAGAGGAAGAGGCGGCUAACUCUGUGCCAGCAGCCGCGGUAAGACAGAGGCCUCGAGCGUUAGGCGGAAUCACUGGGCUUAAAGCGUGUGUAGGCGGAUCGUUAAGUGCCUUGUGAAAUCCCACAGCUCAACUGUGGAACUGCUUGGCAUACUGGCGGUCUUGAGCCAUCUAGGGGCGACUGGAACAAACGGUGGAGCGGUGAAAUGCGUAGAUAUCGUUUGGAACGCCAAUGGUGAAAACAGGUCGCUGGGGAUGUGCUGACGCUGAGACACGAAAGCCAGGGGAGCAAACGGG